UACAGAGGUCUCAAGCGUUGUUCGGAUUCAUUGGGCGUAAAGGGUGCGUAGGUGGCGCGCUAAGUCAGGUGUGAAAUCUCGGAGCUUAACUCCGAAACUGCAUUUGAUACUGGUGUGCUUGAGGACUGGAGAGGAGACUGGAAUUCACGGUGUAGCAGUGAAAUGCGUAGAUAUCGUGAGGAAGACCAGUGGCGAAGGCGGGUCUCUGGACAGUUCCUGACACUGAGGCACGAAGGCCAGGGGAGCAAACGGG
RNAcentral lists this ribosomal RNA (253 nucleotides) under uncultured bacterium. Its description in RNAcentral is "partial 16S ribosomal RNA". It matches the Rfam family "Bacterial small subunit ribosomal RNA", at positions 524 to 776 of the family's 1533-position model. The record is from RNAcentral.